RNAcentral lists this long non-coding RNA (210 nucleotides) under Vigna radiata. RNAcentral describes it as "long non-coding RNA (VRAD_LNC010698)". Lineage: Eukaryota; Viridiplantae; Streptophyta; Magnoliopsida; Fabales; Fabaceae. The record is from RNAcentral.
GCAGUUUUCAGGAAAGCGAGUGCGAACGUUGUAGGUAUUGUUUUUGUUUCAUUGCGCAAGCGAUCAUCUAAAUUCGAAUAAUCUAAUUAUCUAAUUCUAUGAUGUGCAGUCCUCCUGUCAGGAAAGCGAGUGCCAACGUUGUAAGUAUUGUUGCGAAGUACGUUGUUCCCUCCGGGGGAGUGAUCCAGUUUGCUGCCCUUUCUCUUCCCG